UGGUUUGGUCAAAAAGUUUGUUUGGGUUUUUCAUAACAUCUUAUGGGAAAACCCAAACAAAAUUUUUAGCCAAACCAAU
RNAcentral lists this microRNA precursor (79 nucleotides) under Ovis aries (sheep). RNAcentral's name for it is "miRNA (ENSOARG00000021264.1)". Lineage: Eukaryota; Metazoa; Chordata; Mammalia; Artiodactyla; Bovidae. The record is from RNAcentral.